UUCCGGUUGAUCCUGCCGGACCUGACUGCUAUCGGAUUGAUACUAAGCCAUGCGAGUCAUUGUAGCAAUACAAGGCAGACGGCUCAGUAACGCGUAGUCAACCUACCCUAUGGACGGGAAUAACCUCGGGAAACUGAGUAUAAUGCCCGAUAGAACAUUAUACCUGGAAUGGUUUAUGUUCCAAAUGAUUUAUCGCCGUAGGAUGGGACUGCGGCCUAUCAGUUUGUUGGUGAGGUAAUGGCCCACCAAGACUAUUACAGGUACGGGCUCUGAGAGGAGUGGCCCGGAGAUGGGUACUGAGACACGGACCCAGGCCCUAUGGGGCGCAGCAGGCGAGAAAACUUUGCAAUGUGCGAAAGCACGACAAGGUUAAUCCGAGUGGUUUCUGCUAAAGGAACCUUUUGUUAGUCCUAGAAACACUAACGAAUAAGGGGUGGGCAAGUUCUGGUGUCAGCCGCCGCGGUAAAACCAGCACCUCAAGUGGUCAGGAUGAUUAUUGGGCCUAAAGCAUCCGUAGCCGGCUCUGUAAGUUUUCGGUUAAAUCUGUACGCUUAACGUACAGGCUGCCGGAAAUACUGCAGAGCUAGGGAGUGGGAGAGGUAGACGGUACUCGGGAGGAAGUGGUAAAAUGCUUUGAUCUCUCGAUGACCACCUGUGGCGAAGGCGGUCUACCAGAACACGUCCGACGGUGAGGGAUGAAAGCUGGGGGAGCAAACCGGAUUAGAUACCCGGGUAGUCCCAGCUGUAAACUAUGCAAACUCAGUGAUGCAUUGGCUUGUGGCCAAUGCAGUGUUGCAGGGAAGCCGUUAAGUUUGCCGCCUGGGAAGUACGUACGCAAGUAUGAAACUUAAAGGAAUUGGCGGGGGAGCACCACAAGGGGUGAAGCCUGCGGUUCAAUUGGAUUCAACGCCGGA
This 914-nucleotide ribosomal RNA is filed under the name uncultured archaeon. RNAcentral's name for it is "bacterial SSU rRNA". It matches the Rfam family "Archaeal small subunit ribosomal RNA", at positions 1 to 922 of the family's 1478-position model. The record is from RNAcentral.